CAAAAACCUGUGCAUGAAAAUUCACAGCAGCUUUAUUCAUAAUAGUCCUGAACUGGAAGCAAGCCAGACAUCCUUUCAGGGGUGAACGGUUCAACAAAUUGCAGUUCAUUCCUACCACAGAAUGCCACUCCAGCACUAGAGAGGAGCAAGCUAUUGAUGUACGCAACAAUUUGGAUGAAUCUCGAGGAGGUUAUGCUGAGUGAAAAGCUCCAAUCUGCAGUUUACGUACCGUAUUGCUCCAUUUCUAUAACACCCUCAAAAUGACAAAAGUACAGAAAUAGAUGACAAAUGAGCAGUUCCCAGGGCUUAGCGAUGGGGGAUGUGGAAAAAGAGGGAUGUGGAUAUGAAAAGGCCACUGCUUGGACAAUGUUUAGUUUCAGCUUAAAAACUCUCAUCUCACCCUCUACAACUGCCUCUCCCCUCCAGCCUCCUCUAACAUGUCCUCUGGCUCAUGUCUAAGUGGAUUUGUCACACGUGUUUGGGAAGUCAUUACCCAGGAAAAGGCUCCUCUCUUGACCAAUCUAACCCAGCCCUCUUCACAUCUCUCUUAUUUCCUUUAAACACCCUUUGCAGGCAACGUCAAAAACAUGCUGUCUUUUGAAAACAUAAACUUCUUGCUCUCUGAGAGCUGGAAGUCUGGGCAGAGAUGAAGUGUACCUUGUUCAGACCCUUCUCCUGUGCCUAAGCCACCUGUCAGCCAGGAAGCUUGCUGGUGGUGGUAGCUCUGGCCCAGACCCUUACGAUGAAGAGUUGACUACAGCAGUUUAUUCAUCUUUUUUUCCACCAAAGAAAGAGUUAAUCUCUCCUCCUUCCAGCUAUCUUGCCAACAGCUCUGAGAGAGUAAAGAAUCUGACCGAAAGCAUACAGUAUAAGUGAUCGUGUCAGCAUUUCUCCGGCACUAAUGCCCUAGAGUCUCUUCACUGGACCAGGACACUGAAGAGGACAGAGUGGCCCAGGGAUGGCAAAAGGGAAAAGCAGAAUCCUCAGACUCAGGAAACAGAAUGAGAAGGGUGCUUUAGGCGGAGGGGGCCAAGGCGACCCAAACUGAGAAACUCCAGGGAGUCAUUGUUUUCGAAGUCCUUCCACCCAUCACUCUCCCUCUCCUCUCACUCCUCCAGUGCCUUUUGCUUUUCAGGAAACAGUUCGAAACUGAAAGCAGUCUGUGCUGGUCCCUGGCUGUGCUGACAGGUUGAAAUUUUCAACAGGGAACCAGUGCAAAGACAAUGGUGAUUUGAGAGUGGACAUUGGGCUUUAGGUUUGAGUACGUGUGUAUGUGACCCUGUGGGGAUUUCUUUCUUUUCUUUUUUUUUGAGAUAGACUUGCUCUGUCUCCCAGACUGGAGUGCAGUGGCUCGAUCCCAGCUCACUGCAACCUCCGCCACCCGGGUUCAAGCGAUUCUUGUGCCUCAGCCUCCCGAGUAUCUGGGACUACAGGCGCAUGCCACCACGCCAGCUAAUUUUUGUAUUUUUUGGUAGAGACAGGGUUUUGCCAUGUUGGCCAGGCUGGUCUCGAAUUUCUGGCCUCAAGUUAUCCACCCGCUUCGGCCUCUCAAAGUGCUAGGAUUACAGGCAUGAGCCACUGUGCUCAGCUAAUUUUUGUAUUUUUAGUAGAGAUGGAGUUUCACAGUGUUGGCCAGGCUGGUCUCAAACUUCUGGCCUCAAGUGAUCCGCUUGCCUCAGCCUCCCAAAGUGCCGGGAUUACAGGCGUGAGCCACCGCACCCUGUGGGAAUUUCUUUCUUCAACUCUCAAGCCUGCACAUAAGGACCUGAUUCAGGAAGAUCCACACAGAAACUCAGGAAGACUCUGGCUGGGGAGGUCCCCCUCUCACAUGCAGAGUGACCUCUCCAUAGACAUUGCCCGGAGUUGAUUAAUUGUUUGGUUUUCAAGGCCUGCCAUAGAGAAACUUAGAAUACAACGCCUAAGGAGUCGACAAGCUGCACAUCCAAUAUCAUAGAGCCACCCACUGAGGAAAUUGAGUCUCUUUCUCUUUUGCAAAGGAAAAAAUAAUUAAGCAAAGAUUAAAGCCCAAAGUGAAUGUCUUUCCUUGGACUGGAAUCAGACAUAUCUGCUUUAUUCCUCUCUGGCCUUCAGGGCCUCCCUAAGGUCCAGAGGGGCCUGGGCCACUUCUAUUUUUGAGAGAGAGAGAGAGAGAGAGAGAGAGAUGAAAAAACAAGGUUACAAAAUUGCGGUAUAUUUUAAAUGAGGGAAGUUCACAGAUCAAUUUCUUGGUACACAAAAAGCAAUAAAGUAUAAUUAAUUGAGCUCUAAAAAGAAGAUUGUGGCUGGAUGCAGUGGCUCACGCCUAUAAUCCCAACGGUUUGGGAGGCUGAGGUGGGAAGAUUGCUUGAGUCCAGGAAUUUGAGGCUGCAGGGAGCUAUGAUUGUGCCACUGAACUCCAGCCUGGGCAGCAAAGCAAGACACUGUCUGCAAGGGGGCAGAUAAUAAAAGGAUACGUAUAAAUGUAUGGGUUCAAUACUUCUGCCAACCAGCCCUGAAGUUUGUGGAAGGAAAAUAAAUCUCCAGACCCCACAACCACCAAGCCAAAGGGAACAGCCAAGCUGGGAACUGUUUAGAGCAAACCUGCCUCCCGUUCUAUUGCUAAAAAAGAUAGCUACUAAGAUUUAAAAAAAAAAAGCUACAUACCUCCCUCACAAUUCGUUCACAAAGAAAUUCCUUACGGACAAAGGACAGAUGUAACUCAAUGUCAUCCCUUUACUCUCUGAGAUAAAUGUAUAUCUGAUUGCUUCCCUUGGAAAGGCUAAUCAGAAACUCAAAAAAAUGCAACUGUUUGUCUCUUAUCUACCUGUGACCUGGAAGCCCCCUCCCACUUUGAGUUGUUUUGCCUUUCUAGACCGAACCAACGUACAUCUUACAUAUUAGGUUGGUGCAAAAGUAAUUGUGAUUUUUGCCAUUAAAACUAAUGUUGCCCAGGCUGGAGUGCAUUAAAAGUAAUGGCAAAACUGCAAUUACUUUUGUACCAAUCUAAUAUACUGAUUGAUGUCUUAUGUAUCCUUAAAAUGUAUAAAGCCAAGCUGUGCCCUGACCACCUCAUGUUGUGAGGACCUCCUGAGGCUGUCAUGGAUGUACUUUUAACCUUGGCAAAAUAAACUUCCAAAAUUAAUUGCGA
Molecule: long non-coding RNA, 3127 nt
Filed under: Homo sapiens (human)
Lineage: Eukaryota; Metazoa; Chordata; Mammalia; Primates; Hominidae
Description: HSALNT0391675
Source: RNAcentral